UGGGGAAUAUUGGACAAUGGGCGAAAGCCUGAUCCAGCCAUGCCGCGUGUGUGAAGAAGGUCUUCGGAUUGUAAAGCACUUUAAGUUGGGUGGAAGGGCAGUAAGCGAAUACCUUGCUGUUUUGACGUUACCGACAGAAUAAGCACCGGCUAACUCUGUGCCAGCAGCCGCUGUAAUACAGAGUUUGCAAGCGUUAAUCGGAAUUACUGGGCGUAAAGCGCGCGUAGGUGGUUCGUUAAGUUGAAUGUGAAAGCCACGGGCUCAACCUGGGAACUGCAUCCGAAACUGCCGAGCUAGAGGAGGGCAGAGGGUGGUGGAAUUUCCUGUGUAGCGGUGAAAUGCGUAGAUAUAGGAAGGAACACAAGUGGCGAAGGCGACCACCUGGGCUCAUACUGACACUGAGGUGCGAAAGCGUGGGGAGCAAACAGG
RNAcentral lists this ribosomal RNA (429 nucleotides) under Pseudomonadota bacterium. RNAcentral describes it as "Proteobacteria bacterium partial 16S ribosomal RNA". It matches the Rfam family "Bacterial small subunit ribosomal RNA", at positions 355 to 776 of the family's 1533-position model. Lineage: Bacteria; Pseudomonadati; Pseudomonadota. The record is from RNAcentral.